GCCUCUCUGGAGCCAAACUUGACCAAAUCAGAGAAAUGUUCCUCAACACGAAGGAGCAUUGUGCCGCACAUUGUCCCAGGAAGCUGGAGUGAGCUCACUGGAAAAGACAUGCAGGAGAUCCCACGCCAGACCUCGGGGAAUGACUGUGGUGUUUUCAUGCUCAUG
This is a long non-coding RNA of Entelurus aequoreus (snake pipefish), 165 nucleotides long. RefSeq lists it as uncharacterized. The transcript is spliced from 3 exons. The record is from RefSeq and is a predicted model, not a curated record. Lineage: Eukaryota; Metazoa; Chordata; Actinopteri; Syngnathiformes; Syngnathidae.